AGUGAACGCUGGCGGUAGGCCUAACACAUGCAAGUCGAACGGCCGCACAGUAAGAGCUUGCUCUUACGGGUGGCGAGUGGCGGACGGGUGAGGAAUACAUCGGAAUCUACUUUUUCGUGGGGGAUAACGUAGGGAAACUUACGCUAAUACCGCAUACGACCUACGGGUGAAAGCAGGGGAUCUUCGGACCUUGCGCGAUUGAAUGAGCCGAUGUCGGAUUAGCUAGUUGGCGGGGUAAAGGCCCACCAAGGCGACGAUCCGUAGCUGGUCUGAGGGGAUGGUCAGCCACCCUGGAACUGAGACACGGUCCAGACUCCUACGGGGGGCCGCAGUGGGGAAUAUUGCACAAUGGGGCCAAGGCUGAUCCAGCCAUACCGCGUGGGUGAAGAAGGCCUUCGGGUUGUAAAGCCCUUUUGUUGGGAAAGAAAAGCAGCUGUUUAAUACCCCGCUGUUCUGACGGUACCCAAAGAAUAAGCACCGGCUAACUUCGUG
Molecule: ribosomal RNA, 492 nt
Filed under: uncultured bacterium
Lineage: Bacteria
Description: partial 16S ribosomal RNA
Rfam family: Bacterial small subunit ribosomal RNA
Source: RNAcentral